GCGCGAAUUUCACUAUUGAUUGGUAAUACGCCCGCGCUUAUAAGGGCGAAUUUGGGUCCCGACGUAUCUUGUUUCUCGGCCAUCCAUGCUGGUCGCAGCAGUCGGAUUAGUUGCUCGUGUUCUUUCCCUGAUCUCUGGGGGUUCAGUUUUACACCUGCAAGUCGAGCCGAGCAAUUCCUGAUUGGAGAACGAGCUAGAUCAAAGCCAGCUCGAGUAAUGAGUGGAUAAUUUUCCCGUAAGAUCGGGUUAACAGCCUGAACCGACUGGUAAUCCAGGAUAUCCGGCAUAUUCAACCACAUGUGGUAAAGAUGGCCUUUAUUAAUAAGCUAUCGCUUUAGGAUGAUCCCGCGUUUCAUUCGGUGGUUGGUGGGGUAACGGCCUAACAAGGUAUUCCCUAGUAGCUGUUCUGAGAGGAUGAUCAGCCACACUGGGACUGAAACACGGCCCAGACUCGUGCGGGAGGCAGCAGUGGGGAAUAUUGCGCAAUGGGGGAAACCCUGAUGCAGCGACGCCGUCAGUAGGAGAAGGCUUUUGGGUCGUAAAGUACAGUCAGGAGGGAAGAAACUGUUUGGGUAUAAUACGCCCAUUCACUGACGGUACCUCCAGAGGAAGCACCGACUAAUUCCGUGCCAGCAGCCGCGGUAAUACGGAGGGUGCGAGCGUUUAUUGGAAUCCCUGGGCGUACACGUGUGUAGGCGGCGCUCCCAAGUCAGCCGUGCAAAGCCCUCCGGCUCUCCCCGUCGCGUUUUACC
Molecule: ribosomal RNA, 752 nt
Filed under: Desulfovibrio sp. GH-12
Lineage: Bacteria; Pseudomonadati; Thermodesulfobacteriota; Desulfovibrionia; Desulfovibrionales; Desulfovibrionaceae
Description: bacterial SSU rRNA
Rfam family: Bacterial small subunit ribosomal RNA (bases 105-752)
Source: RNAcentral